CAUCACGCCAAUCUAUGACAUAGUUCAGACCACACUUUUGGAUUACAUCAGGAAAAGCAAGGUGGCAGCAUCUGAAGCAGGUGGAAUUACUCAAGGCAUAGGGGCAUACAAGGUACAAGUACCUUUUGAUGGCAAGCCACAGACUUGUGUUUUCCUUGACACCCCUGGACAUGAGGU
This is a long non-coding RNA of Coffea eugenioides, 177 nucleotides long. RefSeq lists it as uncharacterized. NCBI's taxonomy places the organism in Eukaryota, Viridiplantae, Streptophyta, Magnoliopsida, Gentianales, Rubiaceae. The record is from RefSeq and is a predicted model, not a curated record. The transcript has 3 exons.